This 72-nucleotide ribosomal RNA is filed under the name Symbiodinium sp. ex Cyphastrea serailia. RNAcentral's name for it is "partial 28S ribosomal RNA". The record is from RNAcentral. Lineage: Eukaryota; Dinophyceae; Suessiales; Symbiodiniaceae.
UAGCAUGAAGUCAGACAAGUGAACCCGCUGAAUUUAAGCAUACAAAAAGCCGGGAGGAAAAAAACGGGGGAG